Molecule: long non-coding RNA, 863 nt
Filed under: Cavia porcellus (domestic guinea pig)
Lineage: Eukaryota; Metazoa; Chordata; Mammalia; Rodentia; Caviidae
Description: lncRNA (ENSCPOG00000036634.1)
Source: RNAcentral
AUCAGCUAAGAAUGACUGUUAACUCAGAAAACUGUUUCAUGAGAUGGAGAAAUAACAAAAACCUUACUGUUUUUGAAGUUGAUGAUUUUUUUCAUCCUUUCCUCCCAGUUUGCUAAGUUGGAAGGCAUCCUGAGAUGAGUUUUCUGUUUCAGAAACAACAGCUACAAAAAAGAAGAAAAGCCCCCAAAUUUAGAGUAAAUUAACAGGGCAAAGUUAUAUGUUUCACAAAUAGGAAGAAGAUUCUGCAGGUAGAGAGCUGAAUCAUUUCUGAAGGGUAAGCUUCCGAGCAAACACAUAUAAAUCUUCAAGAGUAUAAAUUAGCACAUAAGAGGGUUAUUCAUUCAAGCCAAAUGAAUUUCCACUGCUCUGCUUUGUUUCACAUGUGGGCAAACUGGGCUGUCAGAAGAACGCUCAGCCAUGACUCCUCAUGGGCACUGGACACCUGCAGCAGGCACAUAGGAAAAAUCUCAGGCUCUCCCAAUCCCAGCAGUUAGGACAGCUGCCUAAAACCGGCCCACCUUGUCUUGGUGAUUCUUUGCCAGUUUGUCCAGGCAGAACCUUAUUCUUUUUGCCAAACAAACGACCAGUGGAGGACUUGAUGCUCUUCUUCUUUGGGGCUUUGUGGAGCGCGUCCUGGUGAUUCUUUGCCAGUUUGUCCAGGCAGAACCUUUUUCUUUUUGCCAAACAAACGACCAGUGGAGGACUUGAUGCUCUUCUUCUUUGGGGCUUUGUGGAGCGCAUCCUGCCUGCUGUCACUGGUACUGGGAUUGUUCACAGGACCUUCCUGGGAGCCUGUUGAGCUUCAAAGAAAUAAAAUGGAUUUUUACCACCCUCUUCCCAGCUCCACAGUCCAUUCACACGUA